Molecule: ribosomal RNA, 581 nt
Filed under: uncultured Mesodinium sp.
Lineage: Eukaryota; Ciliophora; Litostomatea; Cyclotrichida; Mesodiniidae
Description: eukaryotic LSU rRNA
Rfam family: Eukaryotic small subunit ribosomal RNA (bases 1-136)
Source: RNAcentral
ACACCGCCCGUCGCUCCUACCGAUCGAGUGUUUAGGUGAAUUUGAUGGACGUAAGGAAGUCAAAUAAGCCUGAGCACUUAGAGGAAGGAGAAGUCGUAACAAGGUUUCCGUAGGUGAACCUGCGGAAGGAUCAUUCCAUUAGCGCGCGAUUCAUUGGUUCUCAACCUGCGUAAGCAGCGUAAUAAAGGUUUUUUAGCUUUGGAGGUGUCGGGUACUGAUCCGAGGAAGGACGCAGUUACACGCGAUAUUCAACCUGAAUCGCAAAACUGCGGAUGGUCGGGUGUCUGAAUGCUCAAAGCCGGAGCUACUGGUCACGCUCUAACACACCCCUUCGGUGUCUCACUUCCGCGUGAUGUGAGAAUUCCAAAAUAUUUUCACGUGACCACUAGCGGGGCAUGUAGUUAAUUUAAGCUUAUAAGUUAAUACACAAAGAAACUAAAUAGGAUGGACCGAGUAGUGGCGAAUGAAAAGUCCAAAGACCGAUCCGAAUUCAAGUUGUGGAUCCUACACUUCGGAAGACUCCAAAUCACCUGGAACGGUGGGCCGUAGAGAGUGAUAGCCUCUUUAGAGUCGGAAGAAGC